Molecule: long non-coding RNA, 963 nt
Filed under: Equus caballus (horse)
Lineage: Eukaryota; Metazoa; Chordata; Mammalia; Perissodactyla; Equidae
Description: lncRNA (ENSECAG00000029770.2)
Source: RNAcentral
CACACACACACACACACACACACACACAAACUGCUUUUAAGAGAAAGUUGUCACUUGAGCAAAAACUUUCAUCUUUAGCUGAUCCAAUGACGGGAAGCUAUUUGGCAUAGACUUAGUAAAACCUUCACGCAAAACCAGCAGAGGAACUGCCAGAGCUUCCAUAUAGGGUGUAACUUGAGGAGUCAUCCUGAUGCUGGAAGAGCCGUCCAGCUUUCCAGAAGGAGGCCAGUAAAAAGCGGGGAGAGUCUAGAGGGGGACCGAUGUAUCCUACUUUGGAAAAGUUGUUUGCAUUCCACACACUUGUUCUAUCUCUCUUUAAUGAAGACAAAGCACCACCGGUGGAAGAAAUCCUUGUCAUAGCCUCACCCCAAAGGGACCGGCAGGGUUUGACAAAGCCAACGCCCCAGUUAUUUAGCAUCCUUCAGAGAUGAUAAGAUACUCAGGAGAAGGUAUUCAGGACCCACACUUUGUGUCCUGCUACAAGAGAUGGCCAGAGACGGAGUACACUAUAGAGCGCCAAGGAAAUAAGAUACUUCUCAAAUCUCAUCAUCAGGCGGCUGAAGAUGACCACAGCCCUAUCAGUGUGCAGAUGGAACGGCAGAUUUUCAACACCGUGUUUGCUGUUGGAGCCCUGAGCCACAAUGAAAAGUGGACUAUCUGGCCAGAGAGACUCUUGGAGAGAGAACGAUGCCGAGUCAGCCCUAGCUGUGACAGUCAGACUCUUGGAGGAGCCCCACAUGGGAGUCAAGAAGCACUCCUUAAGUUCAGCCCCUGUCCAGCCACAAGGUCUACCCACAGAAGCAUAAAAACAAUAAAAUGUUGUUUUAAGCUACAAAGUUUGAGUAAAUGGUGUGUCAAACAGUACUAGAUAACUGAAACAACCAUGAGUGUAUCUGUGUGUGACAUCCACUGAAAUUCUCCAACUUUGCUCUUGUAUUUUUGUUUUUAUUUUUUUAAUUAUAG